Molecule: ribosomal RNA, 253 nt
Filed under: uncultured bacterium
Lineage: Bacteria
Description: partial 16S ribosomal RNA
Rfam family: Bacterial small subunit ribosomal RNA
Source: RNAcentral
UACGUAGGGUGCGAGCGUUAAUCGGAAUUACUGGGCGUAAAGCGUGCGCAGGCGGUUCGCUAAGACCGAUGUGAAAUCCCCGGGCUCAACCUGGGAACUGCAUUUGUGACUGCAUGGCUGGAGUGCGGCAGAGGGGGAUGGAAUUCCGCGUGUAGCAGUGAAAUGCGUAGAUAUGCGGAGGAACACCGAUGGCGAAGGCAAUCCCCUGGGCCUGCACUGACGCUCAUGCACGAAAGCGUGGGGAGCAAACAGG